AUUUUCUGGUCGGUCUUAAAAAAUAAAGCAUUUGCCGGUGCCUAACGUUAACUUUCCGGUCUUGACCGGCAAAACGGUGCUUUCUGGACAAAAAAUUAUCUAGAAAGUAAAAAUUUUCUGGUUGGUCUUAAAAAACGAAACAUUUGCCGGUCCCUAACGUUCACUUACAGGUCUUGACCGGCAAAACGCUAUUUUCUAGACAAAAAAUUAUCCAGAAAGUAUAAGUUUUCUGGUCGGUCUUAAAAUAGAUUUUUUUCAGCUGUUUUACUCUUCUUUCAACUCUUUAGUCAAUGUGUGCUUGCGCGAUAUGUUUGUUGGUCCAGGAAUUAGUGCAGCCACAAUUCCAAUAGAUAUAGAACAUUUUAUUCGCAAACUAUUAUAUCUACAUACUGUGUAUUAUCAACCAAUUUAAGUCAAUCUGCGACAUUUGUCGCAAAAUUUUUUGUAUUUAUAUAAAAUUAAAGCUACUUUUGGAGCAAUCUGCUCACUUGUGAUGCUUAGUUUGUUUUUUAUGCGGAUAUUGUGAUUGGUGGAACUAACAACUAUUUGUCGUGUGUUUGGAUUUCGUAUAAACAAUCUACAAUCAUAAAUCUAGUGUAAAAAAUCACAUAAAAGGCAUCCGGUAAAGAUUGUUAAAACGUCAAUACACCUAAACAUAGUUUUAUCGUAAAAAUGUACUCGAAACCGUCCCCAAUAUAUAUCACAUACAUACAAAUCCUGAUCACUACGUGGCUGGUUCGAUAAGUACUUAGCCUCUCCUCCCCAGGGCGCCACUACCGCAAUAUCGUAUAAUACAUUCCCGUAGACAGGAGACGUUAAUUUGUCCAAUUCGUUCCUUUAUUUGCGCAUGUGCAGGCAAUGUCAUAUUGAAUUUCGUGCCAAAAUUUAAAUAAUGUGCAGUGGACCUAUUACGGCUAAAAAAGAUUAUUCUUUCUUUAACUAGUAGUAUAUUUUAACAUUUAUAGAUUAUUCUUUCUUUAACAAAGUAUUCAUAAUAUCUAAAUGUGCUUUUAAACAAAUGUUAGUGUAGAUUUCAAUUAAAUUAUUUAUCUAUAAUUAUUUAUAACUAUUUAUAUCUUUUAGAGAAAAAGAUAAGGCAAGUCUAAACUAUAAAAAAUAGGUUAGGUUAAAUGAUAUUUUCAAAUAUAUUGGAUAAGUAGAUACGAAUUAAAAUGGACCGAUGCCAACGGAAAAGACGGUAUUAUUUUAUCAGAUUGUACACUUUACUACAAAUUUAUUUUAGAGUGUAGUGUGCUUAAAGUGUAAUGAAAAGAAUUAACGGAUUCGAUGGUUGGAAAUUCAUGUCUAACAAUAAACAAAACUUUUGUUUUCAAUCUUCCCACAAGAUUUAUUUAAAAUAUUUGUAAGUUGUUAGUUCUGAAAGCUGGCGUUAUUCCUUUCUUUUUAUGUGUUUGGCUACAUAUUUGUUGAUAUCUUACCUGUGAUAGAGAAGAAGAUAGGUUCUGGGUUUUUCUAUGAUAAUGGGAAGACUAAUUUCAAGGCUUUUUUAUGCAGUUUUUGAUUUUCGAUUCUGUUAAUUGUUUGUUCCUUGUACCCAUUGUUUACUGCUACAUAUAUAUUUGUUGCAUGAUGCGUACAAUUCUAUAAUUAUAUCUCGAAGUUAUUUAUGAUAUGGAUAUUUCUGUCAGUCUAUGUAACAUACAGUGGGUGAUCAAAUUAUUAGAGCCACGUAGUAAAAUUCAAUGUUUUAGAGAAAGGGUAUAUUAUUGAAGUGUAUAAUAUAUUAAUGCGUUUGUUUCCAUUUGACUGUCUUGUUGCACUUAAUGAAUGCAAUAAAUAAUAGUCCGACAAUAGUGGUAAUGCGUGACUGAGAUGCCUUUGUUUAUCAGUGCUGCCCAGCUAGCUUGCAACUCGUGUGCCUCUUAUUUUGUAUUCUUGGUGUUUACAGUUAUAAUAAACUCUGAGAGUUUCCAUUGCUCUCCAGUGAUAUUCUGACAGUCUUAUACAAUUUUUUGGGAAUUUAGUAAACAUUGCACGUUCAUUACACUAGUGGUACAUCUCACCAAGGAAAAUAGUAGAAAUAAAAACUUUAUUAUUUAACACUAAAUUACUCCAACAGAAGCAUACCAUCCAUUUCUAAAGUUUCAAAGGCAACGUGGACCGUAUAAAGAAAAAAUUUACAUACCAUUAUUAAACAAAAGUAAAAUUUUCUGAGGUGGCUCUAAUAGCCACCCUAAUAGUUAGGAUGGGAUGAUGAAUUGUGUCAGUAUUUUGUAUUAGAUAAAAAAAGUAGCAAGUUGCCCAAAGUAUUGUUCUCUUCUUUUUGUUCUUUUCUUGAUGCCUAUUACAACGUUGGAUAAAUGGAUGCCAAAGUCUAAUAUCUCAAAAGACCUGUUUUUGAUUUACAAUGAUGAUUCGGACAACUUGCUAUUUUUUUUAUCUAAUACAAAAUACUGACACAUUUCAUCAUCCCAUCCUAACACAACAUAAAUAGGACUUUUCAACGCUUCUCAUUUGUUUCGAGCUUGUUGAUAGUUCUUAUAAUCAUCCAUGUAUAAUAUUAAUAUACGACAUUAGGAACAGAAGUUCUAAACAAAUGAGAAGGGCUGAAAAAUCCUAUUGGCAGUCUACAUAAUAUGUUACAUACACUGACAGAAAUACCCAUGCCAUAAAUAACUUCAAGAUAGAAUUGUACAUCAUUCAACAAAUAGCAGUAAACAAUGGGUACUAAGGAACAAACACAUAAUAUAAAAUCAAAGUUAUGACCAACACGGCUUUGUAUAGUAGUAAUUUGUUAUUUAAUGACAAUUUGGAUGUCCUACCAAGGAGCCAGUACAUUUGUCUGAACUUGAGAUCCAACUGCCUGCAUUUCAUUUGGAGGUGUUUGUUCCAUGUUAUCCUUUGGUUGAUAUGCAAUCCAAAUGGUAUUAACAAUAUAAAGAGGUUAAUACAAUAAAACAAAGGUUUAAGUAUUUAUUUUUUAAAUUUUAAUCCUUUAUGUAUUAGAAUCUAUAAAGUUUUGAACCAAAAGUAUUAAUUACACUUUCAUUUGCAUGCCGUCAGCAUUUGUUUAUUUAAAUGUACUAUAAAAAACCCACCAUACAGCUAAUUCCUUUAUUAUUAUUUUUAUCCUUUAAAACAAUUUGUUUAUCAUACAUUUUUGCUAGUUGUGGAAGUUCUUUUAACGGAAUGUGAUAUAACAUACUUUAAAUGAUACUUAAAAUCAUUUCAAAUCAAUAAAUCAAACACCAAUAUCAUGUAUGUACAUAUUUAUAAAUUUAUUAACAAACUGCAAUCCAAGAAAAAUAAUAUAUUAUCAACAUUAGCCAUUUACAGUAAAACCUCCAUUAAUCGAAAUAAUUGAGGGGGAGGCUGUUUCGGAUAACAAGAAUUUCGGUUAAAAAUAACAUUGUUUUUUGUAUUCUCCUUUUAUCAAAUUACAUAGUAUUGGAGAGAUAGAGCUACAAAACAUCGUUGUCGAAGGGAAACACAAAAGAAAAUAGAAGAUUCCUAAAAAAAAACACUCUAAACAUGUUCAAUUUGCUUAAUUUUAUUGCUGUUUAAUUUACUUUUUAUUGACAAAAUUAUUUAAACUGUCAAGACAUUUCGGUUAACGGAAUUUUUACUGUAUUUGCCUUAAAUGGCAAAAUUUUAAAACAAACAAACACACACAUAAAUAUUUGCACUAGAUUUUCUCCUAGUUAAAAAUGUACUGCCACAGCUUGUUCCAUUAAAUAACCGCAGGCUCAGUUGCCAGUAUUUCAAUGUUUUCUCUAAACAACUGCAAUAUUUGUAAAGCUGAUA
This is a long non-coding RNA of Diabrotica virgifera virgifera (western corn rootworm), 3765 nucleotides long. RefSeq lists it as uncharacterized. The transcript is spliced from 2 exons. NCBI's taxonomy places the organism in Eukaryota, Metazoa, Arthropoda, Insecta, Coleoptera, Chrysomelidae. The record is from RefSeq and is a predicted model, not a curated record.